GUCUCUUCGGAGACAUCUUCCUAAAUUGGAACAAUACGGAGAAGAUUAGCAUUACCCCUGUGGAAGGAUGACAUGCACAAAUUGAGGACUCGUCCAAAUUUUU
Molecule: small nuclear RNA, 103 nt
Filed under: Setaria italica (foxtail millet)
Lineage: Eukaryota; Viridiplantae; Streptophyta; Magnoliopsida; Poales; Poaceae
Source: RNAcentral